GGUCAUGUGGCCUAGUGGUCAUGGCAUCUGCUCGGUAAGCGGAAGGUCGUGGGUUCGAUUCCCAUCCCUUGACACU
This 76-nucleotide transfer RNA is filed under the name Cordylochernes scorpioides. Its description in RNAcentral is "tRNA-Thr". It matches the Rfam family "tRNA". Rfam says of the family: Transfer RNA (tRNA) molecules are approximately 80 nucleotides in length. Their secondary structure includes four short double-helical elements and three loops (D, anti-codon, and T loops). The record is from RNAcentral. Lineage: Eukaryota; Metazoa; Arthropoda; Arachnida; Pseudoscorpiones; Chernetidae.